ACGAACGCUGGCGGCGUGCCUAAUACAUGCAAGUAGAACGCACAGUUUAUACCGUAGCUUGCUACACCAUAGACUGUGAGUUGCGAACGGGUGAGUAACGCGUAGGUAACCUGCCUGGUAGCGGGGGAUAACUAUUGGAAACGAUAGCUAAUACCGCAUAAUAUUAAUUAUUGCAUGAUAAUUAAUUGAAAGGUGCAAUUGCACCACUACCAGAUGGACCUGCGUUGUAUUAGCUAGUAGGUGAGGUAACGGCUCACCUAGGCGACGAUACAUAGCCGACUGGAGAGGGUGAUCCGCCAACCGGGGACGGGAAAACGGCCCAGACUCUUACGGGAGGCAGCAGUGGGGAAUUUUCGGAAAUGGAGGAAAGUCUGACCGAGCAACGCCGGGGGGGGGAAGAAGGUUUUGGGAUUUUAAAGUUGUUUUGGAAGAAAAGAACGGUUGUGGGAGGGGAAAGUCCACCCUGGGAGGGUAUCUUACCAGAAAGGGACGGCAAAUUACGU
RNAcentral lists this ribosomal RNA (503 nucleotides) under uncultured bacterium. Its description in RNAcentral is "partial 16S ribosomal RNA". It matches the Rfam family "Bacterial small subunit ribosomal RNA", at positions 29 to 506 of the family's 1533-position model. The record is from RNAcentral.